RNAcentral lists this ribosomal RNA (326 nucleotides) under uncultured eukaryote. RNAcentral's name for it is "partial 18S ribosomal RNA". It matches the Rfam family "Eukaryotic small subunit ribosomal RNA", at positions 1470 to 1796 of the family's 1831-position model. The record is from RNAcentral.
CCCUUAGAUGUUCUGGGCCGCACGCGUGCUACACUGAGUGGAUCAGCGUGUUUUCCCUUCCCGAGAGGGACGGGUAACCCGCUGAACCCCCUUCGUGGUAGGGAUCGGAGCUUGCAAUUGUUCUCCGUGAACCAGGAAUUCCCAGUAAGCGCAAGUCAUAAGCUUGCGUUGAUUACGUCCCUGCCCUUUGUACACACCGCCCGUCGCUACUACCGAUUGAACGUUUUAGUGAGGUAUUUGGACUGGGCCUUGGGAGGUUUCGGCCUCCCUUGUUGCUCGGAAAGACUCCCAAACUUGAGCGUUUAGAGGAAGUAAAAGUCGUAACA